This 404-nucleotide unclassified non-coding RNA is filed under the name Hevea brasiliensis (rubber tree). Lineage: Eukaryota; Viridiplantae; Streptophyta; Magnoliopsida; Malpighiales; Euphorbiaceae. The record is from RNAcentral.
AAUGCUGUGUAUUUUUUCUAGGAAUGCCAGGAGCUUUGGACGAGGGUAGUUGAUAGGGUUGAGGGUAAAAUCCUUGUGCCCAUCCAUGUGAUCAUCAUCAUUCCAGAUCACAUCCAGAGGGAUCUGAGCCUUUUUNNNNNNNNGACCACAUCUUCAACCACAGAGAGGUUAUGGUAGCCCCAUCUGCACUGGUGGAAUCCAAGAGCCCAGUAAGGCAUUGGAGCCGGUCUGCCAAUUAACGUCGUGUACUGGUCGACUACAGCCAAAGGAGAGGGCCCAGCAAAGAAGUAAAAGUCGAAAACACCCCCAAUAAUCUUGUAAGUGAGGGAAGUCCCUCUAUAGAACACAUCCAUGCCGUUACUGUUGAGAAGAAGAACCGAAUGAGCAGAGGGCUGCCCGUUCAC